UUUAAAAGUCGCCGCCAGAAUUUUGGCGCCAGAUGGUUGACAUUGAUAUUUACUGGAGCCAAUUGGCCUGCCCCAGAAAGAUAAGAAUUCAAGGCCGACAUGCAUGCCUACCACUGCCUGUUCAAGAUCCUGCCCCUGGUUGACAAAUGUGGUGUCAGAAAGCAGGCCCAAGGUGAGCUCACCUUGGACAGACCAGCGGUCCCUGGAACCUUGCGCAGUACCAGCUGAGCCCGUUGUGCUCCCAUGUCCAUGAAGUUGCCUUUUCUGCCCGGGUGAACCUCCUUGCAGACCCUCCGACUCCCUCU
This is a long non-coding RNA of Lemur catta (Ring-tailed lemur), 305 nucleotides long. RefSeq lists it as uncharacterized. NCBI's taxonomy places the organism in Eukaryota, Metazoa, Chordata, Mammalia, Primates, Lemuridae. The transcript has 3 exons. The record is from RefSeq and is a predicted model, not a curated record.